GUGAAUACGUUCCCGGGCCUUGUACACACCGCCCGUCACACCAUGGGAGUGGGUUGCACCAGAAGUAGCUAGUCUAACCUUCGGGAGGACGGUUACCACGGUGUGAUUCAUGACUGGGGUGAAGUCGUAACAAGGUAGCCGUAGGGGAACCUGCGGCUGGAUCACCUCCUU
RNAcentral lists this ribosomal RNA (171 nucleotides) under Pseudomonas fluorescens. RNAcentral describes it as "partial 16S ribosomal RNA". It matches the Rfam family "Bacterial small subunit ribosomal RNA", at positions 1362 to 1532 of the family's 1533-position model. The record is from RNAcentral. Lineage: Bacteria; Pseudomonadati; Pseudomonadota; Gammaproteobacteria; Pseudomonadales; Pseudomonadaceae.